GACGAACGCUGGCGGCGUGCUUAACACAUGCAAGUCGAACGCUGAAGCUCAGCUUUUGUUGGGUGGAUGAGUGGCGAACGGGUGAGUAACACGUGAGUAACCUGCCCCCUUCUUUGGGAUAACGCCCGGAAACGGGUGCUAAUACUGGAUAUUCACUGGUCUUCGCAUGGGGGUUGGUGGAAAGGGUUUUUCUGGUGGGGGAUGGGGUCGCGGCCUAUCAGCUUGUUGGUGGGGUGAUGGCCUACCAAGGCUUUGACGGGUAGCCGGCCUGGGAGGGUGACCGGGCACAUGGGGACUGAGAUACGGCCCAGACUCCGACGGGAGGCAGUAGGGGGGAAAAUUGCACAAUGGGUGCAAGACUGAUGCAGCGACGCCGCGUGAGGGAUGGAGGCCGUCGGGUUGUGAUCCUCUUUCGCUCAUGGUCAAGCCGCAACAAUGGUUGUGGUGAGGGUAGUGGGUAAAGAAGCGCCGGCUAACUACGUG
This 483-nucleotide ribosomal RNA is filed under the name uncultured bacterium. RNAcentral's name for it is "partial 16S ribosomal RNA". It matches the Rfam family "Bacterial small subunit ribosomal RNA", at positions 28 to 507 of the family's 1533-position model. The record is from RNAcentral.